This 125-nucleotide small RNA is filed under the name Marmota monax (woodchuck). Lineage: Eukaryota; Metazoa; Chordata; Mammalia; Rodentia; Sciuridae. The record is from RNAcentral.
GCUGGGUGUGGUGCUGCACGCCUGUAAUCCCAAUGGCUUGGGAGGCUGAGGCAGGAGGAUCUCAAGUUCAAAGCCAGCCUCAGCAAAAGUGAAGCACUAAGCAGCUCAGGAAGACUCUGUCUCUA